This is a non-coding RNA of Cajanus cajan (pigeon pea), 337 nucleotides long. The record is from RefSeq and is a predicted model, not a curated record. NCBI's taxonomy places the organism in Eukaryota, Viridiplantae, Streptophyta, Magnoliopsida, Fabales, Fabaceae.
UCAGGCCCGAAGUUCUUUAGGAGAGUGCAUAUUUCGUGAACUCAGUGUUGUUGCCGGUGCAGUCACAAUUACUUGCCUCAUGGUGGCUAAUCUUGUUGGCUUUGUGAUUGGACCAAGAGGCAUUAACUGGUUGCUUUCUUCUUUCCUUCACAAGGAAGGUGACUGACUAUACAAGAGAUCUUGAAGAAAUGCAGAAUGUGUCUAGAGAAGAGUACCUUGCAUCUUUAUGAAGGAAGAGCAGUGGCUUUUCAAGAGGACUCUCCAAAUAUCAUGGACUCUCCUGGUGUGAAUCUAUCAAUUCAUUUUUUUACAAAAAUUGUUGGAAUUAUUUUUUGAA